RNAcentral lists this ribosomal RNA (412 nucleotides) under Campylobacter concisus. RNAcentral describes it as "bacterial SSU rRNA". It matches the Rfam family "Bacterial small subunit ribosomal RNA", at positions 29 to 440 of the family's 1533-position model. The record is from RNAcentral. Lineage: Bacteria; Pseudomonadati; Campylobacterota; Epsilonproteobacteria; Campylobacterales; Campylobacteraceae.
AGUGAACGCUGGCGGCGUGCCUAAUACAUGCAAGUCGAACGGACAAGUAAGAGCUUGCUCUUAUGAGUUAGUGGCGCACGGGUGAGUAAUGUAUAGCUAAUCUACCCUACACUAGAGGACAACAGUUGGAAACGGCUGCUAAUACUCUAUACUCCUGUCUUACAUAAGUUAGAUAGGGAAAGUUUUUCGGUGUAGGAUGAGGCUAUAUUGUAUCAGCUAGUUGGUGAGGUAAUGGCUCACCAAGGCUAUGACGCAUAACUGGUCUGAGAGGAUGAUCAGUCACACUGGAACUGAGACACGGUCCAGACUCCUACGGGAGGCAGCAGUAGGGAAUAUUGCUCAAUGGGGGAAACCCUGAAGCAGCAACGCCGCGUGGAGGAUGACACUUUUCGGAGCGUAAACUCCUUUUGUU